GAUGAACGCUGACAGAAUGCUUAACACAUGCCAGUCUUUGGCGAAGCUGUGCUUGCACCGCCUAGCCAAGGCGGACGGGUGAGUAACGCGUAAGGAACUUGCCCUGCAGUCAGGGAUAACAGACGGAAACGACUGAUAAGACCUGGUAAAGUCAGGCGGACUCAUGUCCAGCCUGAUGAAAAGAGAUGCUGCAGGAGAGCCUUGCGUCCUAUUAGCUUGUUGGUGGGGUAACGGCCCACCAAGGCGAUGAUAGGUAGCCGGCCUGAGAGGGUGGACGGCCACAAGGGGACUGAGAUACGGCCCUUACUCCUACGGGAGGCAGCAGUGGGGAAUAUUGGACAAUGGGGGCAACCCUGAUCCAGCAAUUCUGUGUGCACGAUGAAGGUUUUCGGAUUGUAAAGUGCUUUCAGCAGGGAAGAAAAAAUGACGGUACCUGCAGAAGAAGCGACGGCUAAAUACGUG
This 462-nucleotide ribosomal RNA is filed under the name uncultured bacterium. RNAcentral describes it as "partial 16S ribosomal RNA". It matches the Rfam family "Bacterial small subunit ribosomal RNA", at positions 28 to 507 of the family's 1533-position model. The record is from RNAcentral.